CAAAUACUCCCUCCGUUCGGAAAUACUUGUCAUCAAAAUGGAUAAAAGGAAAUGUAUCUAGACGUAUUUUAGUUUUAGAUACAUCUCUUUUUAUCCAUUUCAAUGACAAGUAUUUUCGGAUGGAGGGAGUAGAAA
Triticum aestivum (bread wheat) is the source of this 135-nucleotide non-coding RNA. The record is from Rfam. Lineage: Eukaryota; Viridiplantae; Streptophyta; Magnoliopsida; Poales; Poaceae.